RNAcentral lists this ribosomal RNA (253 nucleotides) under uncultured bacterium. Its description in RNAcentral is "partial 16S ribosomal RNA". It matches the Rfam family "Bacterial small subunit ribosomal RNA", at positions 524 to 776 of the family's 1533-position model. The record is from RNAcentral.
UACGGAGGGUGCAAGCGUUAUCCGGAUUCACUGGGUUUAAAGGGUGCGUAGGUGGGUCUGUAAGUCCGUGGUGAAAUCUCUAGGCUUAACCUGGAAACUGCCAUGGAUACUAUAGGUCUUGAAUACUGUGGAGGUCAGCGGAAUAUGUCAUGUAGCGGUGAAAUGCUUAGAUAUGACAUAGAACACCGAUAGCGAAGGCAGCUUGCUACACAAUCAUUGACACUGAGGCACGAAAGCGUGGGGAUCAAACAGG